This 377-nucleotide ribosomal RNA is filed under the name uncultured bacterium. RNAcentral describes it as "bacterial SSU rRNA". It matches the Rfam family "Bacterial small subunit ribosomal RNA", at positions 521 to 896 of the family's 1533-position model. The record is from RNAcentral.
UAAUACGUAGGGUGCGAGCGUUGUCCGGAAUUAUUGGGCGUAAAGAGCUCGUAGGCGGUUUGUCGCGUCGACUGUGAAAACCUACAGCUUAACUGUGGGCUUGCAGUCGAUACGGGCAGACUUGAGUUCGGUAGGGGAGACUGGAAUUCCUGGUGUAGCGGUGAAAUGCGCAGAUAUCAGGAGGAACACCGGUGGCGAAGGCGGGUCUCUGGGCCGAUACUGACGCUGAGGAGCGAAAGCGUGGGGAGCGAACAGGAUUAGAUACCCUGGUAGUCCACGCCGUAAACGGUGGGAACUAGGUGUGGGGGGCUUCCACGUCCUCCGUGCCGUAGCUAACGCAUUAAGUUCCCCGCCUGGGGAGUACGGCCGCAAGGCUA